GAAUCUGGAGCAUUCUACCACUGAGAUACAUCAUCGGCCCUUUUUAUUUCUUAUUUUGAGAUGGGUUUUGCUUAAUUAUACAGGCUGGCCUUGAACUUGCAAUCCUCUUGCUUCAGCCUCUUGAGUAGCUGGAAUUACUGGUGUGCAUCAUAAUGCCCUGUUUAAUAUUCUUAUCAUUUUGUAUUAUUUCUUCCAUAUUGUGAUUGAUAGAUACCCCUGGCAUUCUGUUUAAAUUCUUCUGAAGAGUUUUACAUUUUGUUUUGUUUCACCUGAAUUCAGACACCAAACUCUGUGUUUUGAAAUUACACAAUACCUGAAAUCUGUAAUUAGUUAAAUUAGUCCUAGCAGGGCUGCUUGAAGACUUCACUGAUCGUAUAUAAUCUCUGUGUCAGCCAGAGAUUUAGACAGUUUAAAACAGGAUUUGUUUUAAACUUCCUUUCUUUCUCCUUCCUACAGUAUUUCUCCUCAAUUUCUGUUUGCCAUUUCUAUCCUUAACUCUAUUCUCUGAUUUAAUAAGUAAGAUUAUUUCUGAGAUUUAUCUGUUUUGUUCAGCAUUGACCAGAGCCCGCACUCGGGUACAAAUCUGUGAAAACAGGGAAUUAACCCAAUGUUUUUCCUUUCAGUUAGUUGGUAGCUCCCCUCCCAGUUUUUUUUCUCUGCUUCUUAUUCUUCUUUUGUGCCUUUAGAUGAUUGUUUUCCAUGACUAGAGUUUUUAUGUCUAGAGCUUUAAGUUGUCUGUGGGAGGGUUGGUUCAAAACAUUACAGGAAGGUAAACUCUCUUUAUUUUUCUUUUGUCACAUUUAUAGCAGUAUCUUUUCUUUUAUGCCUUAUAUUCCAAGAAUCUUGCAGGGUUCUAUCAAUUUUAUUUAUAUUUUAAAAGCCAACUUUAAAAAAUUUUCCUUCUUUAAAAAUUUUAUUCCUUGAUUUCUUUUCUUAAAAUUUCUGUACUUCCUUCCAUUUAAUUUGGGCUUAAUGUGCUCAUCUUGUUCUAGCAUCUUAAGAUGGAAACUGAGAUUAUUGCUCUUAAGAGUUCUUCGUUUUUAAUAAGCUUAAAUUUAAAAGUAUAAAUAUCCAUCUAAACCAUCUAAACUCUGCUUGAACAGCAUCCUACAAAUUGCGUAAUGCUGUAUUUGCAAUAUCUUUCAUUCUGAAAUAUUUUUAAAUGUUUUUUAUUUCAUUGACAUAUGAGUUAUUGAUUUCUUACUGUUAUUGACUUCUAACUUAAGCUUUUUAUGCUUAGAGAACAUAAUCUAUAAUUUUGGCCUUUUGAAAUUUAAUGAGACUUGUACUGUAGUCCCAUAUGUGGUGCAUCUUGAUGAACAUUUUAUGUGCAUUUGAAAAGAAUUUAUGUUUUACAGUCAGUGGAAUAUUGUUUUCUAAUUUGUCAUUUGGAUUAAGGUACUGAUGAUAUCAUUUGAAGCAAUGUUACUAAGUAUAUAUGCCUUUGCUGUUAUGAUGUGCAUGGAAUAUGUACUCUUUUAUUAUUGUAAAAAUUUUCCCUAUAUCUGGUAAAACUUCC
This 1519-nucleotide long non-coding RNA is filed under the name Marmota monax (woodchuck). Lineage: Eukaryota; Metazoa; Chordata; Mammalia; Rodentia; Sciuridae. The record is from RNAcentral.